Molecule: long non-coding RNA, 556 nt
Filed under: Ananas comosus (pineapple)
Lineage: Eukaryota; Viridiplantae; Streptophyta; Magnoliopsida; Poales; Bromeliaceae
Description: long non-coding RNA (ACOM_LNC044019)
Source: RNAcentral
UCAAAAUCCCUUUUAUAAGCAACCCCUCAACAUAUACACAAUUAUCAGUUAGCAGCUCAGAAUCUGAAACUUUUUACCGGAGCCCUUCUGAGCGUCCAUUUGCACUCAAAUUUGAUAGUCAGACUCGGUUUAAGCUAAUAAAACGAAAAAUAUCUUAACAUUUCAGUUUCGACCAUUUUUGGUCACCGAAAGCUCUAUCGAACUGAAAUCUCUAGCAGAUAGCAGUCGGAUUUUAUUUUCCACUUUUCGGGUGUCGGAAUGGCAUGAAACUUUAAAUUUAGCCUCAUAAAAAUAAUCCCGACAUAUUUUCAAGUUUUCAUAAUUUUCUGACACUGUGAAUUUUCUGCUAAAAUAUCAGUCCCAUUUCUCACAGAAAAUUCUAAAUCUUCUGUUUCCGUUCCGAUUUCAGUAUAAGUCGUUUUCGACUUGUAUUUUACUUCUCUAAGUCAAAUAAAAAUAGUAUCUCACACUAUUUUUAUUUAUAUUUAUUUUUAUAUUAAAAAUCCGGUAUAUCACAGUCACUACUUCACGGCUUUUCUCAAACCAUUGAAGCUAG